Molecule: long non-coding RNA, 984 nt
Organism: Epinephelus fuscoguttatus (brown-marbled grouper)
Lineage: Eukaryota; Metazoa; Chordata; Actinopteri; Perciformes; Serranidae
Exons: 4
Source: RefSeq, a predicted model, not a curated record
AGCCUAUACCCUAAAAUGUUAUUAGUGUGUACCGCAAGCCUCACGAACCUGCACAGACACAGCAAAGGAAUGUCCUUCGCAGGGUCAUCAGUGUGGUGCAGUGAGACUCAUUUCAUACAAAGGUGCCUCAAAAGUUAUUGAUGUCCACUCAAAGGAUUGUGCUGUGGCUGAAGAGUGUGUUGAGGCCUCAGCCAACUAUGGGAUCAACAAAACCGUAAUUACCAGCAAGUGUUGCACUUCUGAGCUCUGCAACACCCAACCUGCCCCUGAGCCCACCAAAUCCAAUCCAAACGGCAAAAAGUGCUUCACCUGUGAUGGACAAUCAUGCACCGCAACUCUGAACUGUGAGGGGGAUGAGCACUACUGCAUCUCAUCAAAAGUGAAUGUAGGAAAUGACGAGGUGACCAUGAAAGGCUGUGCCUCCAAGUUGAUGUGCUCAAAUACACCGUCUGCACAGAUAUCAGGGGCCAUUGAAGCAGAAAUUAGCUGCUGUCAGGGGAACUUCUGCAACAGUGCCAGCAGCACGAGUGCUGGACUUCUGCUCCUGUUGACACCACUGGUCUCUUUGGUCGUGUUUUCUUAAGUGGUGGAGAUGGCAGCAUCACUGCAGCACGUGGCAAACAGCUUUUCUUCUCAUCUUCACAUGGCCUCAUAGUGCUUACACACCCGUGGCCUUAUCUUUCUACCUGAUCAGUGAGACAGUUUAGCAAACAAAGCAUGAAAUAUAACUUAGUAAAGUUGUGAUUAUUAUUGCCUCAAACAGUUUCUAGCCAUAUUGCCUGUGGAGACAAUUGCAACUGUCUUGCACUAUUUUUUUUUUUUUUUUUUGAAUUUUAAAGUAAAACAAGUAAAAUGUGAAAAACAUGUUGAAGCAUAAUGUUUGCUCUGUGUGCGGUGCUUAACCUGAAACAUAUUUUUAAUUUCAAUUAUCAAAAUCAUUCUGAUGAUACUGAUAAAAUGCUCAAUAAAUAAUACAUUUCUUAA